CCUACGGGAGGCUGCAGUAGGGAAUUUUCGGCAAUGGGCGAAAGCCUGACCGAGCAAUGCCGCGUGAAUGAAGAAGGUCUUCGGACUGUAAAAUUCUGUUAUUUGUGAAAGAAUGGUAUUACGAGGAAAUGCGUAGUAUUUGACGGUACCAAAUGAGAAAGCCCCGGCUAACUAUGUGCCAGCAGCCGCGGUAAUACAUAGGGGGCGAGCGUUAUCCGGAAUUAUUGGGCGUAAAGCGUGCGUAGGUGGUUGGAUAAGUCUGACGUGAAAUCCCUUGGCUUAACCAGGGAGGGUCGUUGGAAACUGACUGACUUGAAUCCAGAAGAGGUAAGUGGAAUUCCAUGUGUAGCGGUAAAAUGCAUAGAUAUAUGGAGGAACACCAGUGGCGAAGGCGGCUUACUGGUCUGGUAUUGACACUGAUGCACGAAAGCGUGGGUAGCAAACAGGAUUAGAUACCCCGGUAGUC
Molecule: ribosomal RNA, 466 nt
Filed under: uncultured bacterium
Lineage: Bacteria
Description: bacterial SSU rRNA
Rfam family: Bacterial small subunit ribosomal RNA
Source: RNAcentral